UAUAAAACAUGUCUUUAUGGACAGGUAGAAGGUAUCCUGGGACAGAGACAGAGGAGGGGACAUUAUAAAACAUGUCUUUAUGGACCGGUAGAAGGUAUCCUGAGACAGAGACAGAGACGGGGACGUUAUAAAACAUGUCUUUGUGGACCGGUAGAAGGUAUCCUGAGACAGAGACAGAGGAGGGGACAU
Molecule: long non-coding RNA, 189 nt
Organism: Oncorhynchus keta (chum salmon)
Lineage: Eukaryota; Metazoa; Chordata; Actinopteri; Salmoniformes; Salmonidae
Exons: 3
Source: RefSeq, a predicted model, not a curated record